Sarcophilus harrisii (Tasmanian devil) is the source of this 664-nucleotide long non-coding RNA. RefSeq lists it as uncharacterized. Lineage: Eukaryota; Metazoa; Chordata; Mammalia; Dasyuromorphia; Dasyuridae. The transcript has 2 exons. The record is from RefSeq and is a predicted model, not a curated record.
GGCAGUGGUCAAAGAAAUGUGAGGAGGAGAAAGGAAAGAUAAGCACAAGGAGAAAAACAAAGGAAGAGGAAAAAUGUAAGAGUCUGUUCCUGGAACUUCACAGCAUUACAGUACUCUGUCUGAAGUAAACCUGUCUCUGGUUCUAACUGAAGCUUGACUUGUGAAGGGAGAAGGCUUUAUUGACUGAGCUUCCCUGCAGAUGCUUCCUUCUAAACAAUUGCCCCUUAUGUAAGUUAUUACCAGGUUUGUAUGCAUUUUAUUCAAUGAGUGGAGAUAGAAAAAUAGCAGUUUUCACCUUCAAUGGCCUGUAGGUUUUUUUUUUCCUAAAGGAUUAUAUAAAAUAAUUUUUGGUUUUGUUUUAGUGAGUGAUGCAUUUACCCAAAGCAAUGGUGCAUUGGUACUUACUGGGAUUUCACUGAGAAGAAGCAAAGUAACUUGUCACACCAAAAGUGUGACAGUGACUUUAACAGUGACUGAACCUUUCAGUCAGUAUUGCAAGUUAUGUUCUCCUUGCUUAUCGUUGAUGUUGAGGAGCACCAAAAUGACAACAUAAUGUUGAUACUAGGAUCAGUGUACAGGUUGUCAAACUGUGGCUGAUCAGACCAAUAUAACUCAGAAAGUACCACAUAGCUUGGGCGCAAAUAUGUUCCUACUUCACUCAGGG